Molecule: ribosomal RNA, 468 nt
Filed under: uncultured bacterium
Lineage: Bacteria
Description: partial 16S ribosomal RNA
Rfam family: Bacterial small subunit ribosomal RNA
Source: RNAcentral
GACGAACGCUGGCGGCGUGCUUAACACAUGCAAGUCGAACGGAAAGGCCCUGCUUUUGUGGGGUGCUCGAGUGGCGAACGGGUGAGUAACACGUGAGUAACCUGCCCUUGACUUUGGGAUAACUCCAGGAAACUGGGGCUAAUACCGGAUAGGAGCUCCUGCUGCAUGGUGGGGGUUGGAAAGUUUCGGCGGUUGGGGAUGGACUCGCGGCUUAUCAGCUUGUUGGUGGGGUAGUGGCUUACCAAGGCUUUGACGGGUAGCCGGCCUGGGAGGGGGACCGGCCACAUUGGGACUGAGAUACGGCCCAGACUCCUACGGGAGGCAGCAGUGGGGAAUAUUGCACAAUGGGCGGAAGCCAGAUGCAGCAACGCCGCGUGCGGGAUGACGUCCUUCGGGUUGUAAACCGCUUUCGCCUGUGACGAAGCGUGAGUGACGGUAAUGGGUAAAGAAGCACCGGCUAACUACGUG